RNAcentral lists this ribosomal RNA (497 nucleotides) under uncultured bacterium. Its description in RNAcentral is "partial 16S ribosomal RNA". It matches the Rfam family "Bacterial small subunit ribosomal RNA", at positions 28 to 507 of the family's 1533-position model. The record is from RNAcentral.
GAUGAACGCUGGCGGCGUGCCUAAUACAUGCAAGUCGAGCGAACGGACGAGAAGCUUGCUUCUCUGAUGUUAGCGGCGGACGGGUGAGUAACACGUGGAUAACCUACCUAUAAGACUGGGAUAACUUCGGGAAACCGGAGCUAAUACCGGAUAAUAUUUUGAACCGCAUGGUUCAAAAGUGAAAGACGGUCUUGCUGUCACUUAUAGAUGGAUCCGCGCUGCAUUAGCUAGUUGGUAAGGUAACGGCUUACCAAGGCAACGAUGCAUAGCCGACCUGAGAGGGUGAUCGGCCACACUGGCACUGAGACACGGUCCAGACUCCUACGGGAGGCAGCAGUAGGGAAUCUUCCGCAAAGGGCGAAAGCCUGACGGAGCAACGCCGCGUGAGUGAUGAAGGUCUUCGGAUCGUAAAACUCUGUUAUUAGGGAAGAACAUAUGUGUAAGUAACUGUGCACAUCUUGACGGUACCUAAUCAGAAAGCCACGGCUAACUACGUG